This 693-nucleotide ribosomal RNA is filed under the name uncultured bacterium. RNAcentral describes it as "bacterial SSU rRNA". It matches the Rfam family "Bacterial small subunit ribosomal RNA", at positions 32 to 715 of the family's 1533-position model. The record is from RNAcentral.
AACGCUAGCUACAGGCUUAACACAUGCAAGUCGAGGGGCAGCAUCAUCAAAGCUUGCUUUGAUGGAUGGCGACCGGCGCACGGGUGAGUAACACGUAUCCAACCUGCCGACAACACUGGGAUAGCCUUUCGAAAGAAAGAUUAAUACCGGAUGGCAUAGUUUUCCCGCAUGGGAUGAUUAUUAAAGAAUUUCGGUUGUCGAUGGGGAUGCGUUCCAUUAGGCAGUUGGCGGGGUAACGACCCACCAAACCAACGAUGGAUAGGGGUUCUGAGAGGAAGGUCCCCCACAUUGGAACUGAGACACGGUCCAAACUCCUACGGGAGGCAGCAGUGAGGAAUAUUGGUCAAUGGACGAGAGUCUGAACCAGCCAAGUAGCGUGAAGGAUGACUGCCCUAUGGGUUGUAAACUUCUUUUAUACGGGAAUAAAGUGAGCCACGUGUGGCUUUUUGUAUGUACCGUAUGAAUAAGGAUCGGCUAACUCCGUGCCAGCAGCCGCGGUAAUACGGAGGAUCCGAGCGUUAUCCGGAUUUAUUGGGUUUAGAGGGAGCGUANGCGGGUUGUUAAGUCAGAUGUGAAANUUUGCGGCUCAACCGUAAAAUUGCAGUUGANACUGGCGACCUUGAGUGCACAGAGGUAGGCGGAANUCCUGGUGGUANCGGNGAAAUGCUUAAAUNCCACGAAGAACUCCGAUUG